Molecule: small nuclear RNA, 107 nt
Filed under: Octodon degus (degu)
Lineage: Eukaryota; Metazoa; Chordata; Mammalia; Rodentia; Octodontidae
Source: RNAcentral
GUGCUUAACUCUGCAUCACAUGUGUUGAAAUUAUAACAAUACUGAGAGGAUUAGCACAUCUCCUGCUCAAGAGUAACACACAAAAAAUUCAUAAAGCAUUUCAGUUU